GACCUAACCCUUAUGGAUUUCAUAAGGUAUGGUCUAAAUCGUACAGCAUAAAGAACCCGUUAUUAGGGCGUGCUGUACGUUGCUAGAGGAAACUUUAGUAGGGUCGCAAGGCCU
This 114-nucleotide small RNA is filed under the name unclassified sequences. Its description in RNAcentral is "LOOT RNA". It matches the Rfam family "LOOT RNA". From Rfam's summary of the family: Latescibacteria, OD1/Parcubacteria, OP11, TM7. Lineage (Microgenomates, aka OP11) The record is from Rfam by way of RNAcentral.